CGCGUAGGCGGCUCGGUAAGUCUGGAGUGAAAGUCCUGCUUUUAAGGUGGGAAUUGCUUUGGAUACUGUCGGGCUUGAGUGCAGGAGAGGUUAGUGGAAUUCCCAGUGUAGCGGUGAAAUGCGUAGAGAUUGGGAGGAACACCAGUGGCGAAGGCGACUAACUGGACUGUAACUGACGCUGAGGCGCGAAAGUGUGGGAGCAAACA
RNAcentral lists this ribosomal RNA (206 nucleotides) under uncultured bacterium. Its description in RNAcentral is "partial 16S ribosomal RNA". It matches the Rfam family "Bacterial small subunit ribosomal RNA", at positions 568 to 774 of the family's 1533-position model. The record is from RNAcentral.